GCACAAGCGGUGGAGCAUGUGGUUUAAUUCGACGCAACGCGCAGAACCUUACCAGCCCUUGACAUCCCGGUCGCGGACUCCAGAGACGGAGUUCUUCAGUUCGGCUGGACCGGAGACAGGUGCUGCAUGGCUGUCGUCAGCUCGUGUCAUGAGAUGUUGGGUUAAGUCCCGCAACGAGCGCAACCCUUAUUCAUAGUUACUAACGCGUAAAGGCGAGAACUCUAUGGAGACUGCCGGUGAUAAACCGGAGGAAGGUGGGGAUGACGUCAAGUCCUCAUGGCCUUUAUGUCCAGGGCUACACACGUGCUACAAUGGACGGUACAGAGAGUCGCGAGACCGUGAGGUGGAGCUAAUCUCAAAAAGCCGUUCUCAGUUCGGAUUGCACUCUGCAACUCGAGUGCAUGAAGUUGGAAUCGCUAGUAAUCGCGGAUCAGCACGCCGCGGUGAAUACGUUCCCGGGC
RNAcentral lists this ribosomal RNA (461 nucleotides) under uncultured soil bacterium. RNAcentral describes it as "bacterial SSU rRNA". It matches the Rfam family "Bacterial small subunit ribosomal RNA", at positions 923 to 1379 of the family's 1533-position model. The record is from RNAcentral.